Transfer RNA from Plasmodiophora brassicae, 73 nucleotides. It matches the Rfam family "tRNA". Rfam says of the family: Transfer RNA (tRNA) molecules are approximately 80 nucleotides in length. Their secondary structure includes four short double-helical elements and three loops (D, anti-codon, and T loops). Further hydrogen bonds mediate the characteristic L-shaped molecular structure. tRNAs have two regions of fundamental functional importance: the anti-codon, which is responsible for specific mRNA codon recognition, and the 3' end, to which the tRNAs corresponding amino acid is attached (by aminoacyl-tRNA synthetases). tRNAs cope with the degeneracy of the genetic code in two manners: having more than one tRNA (with a specific anti-codon) for a particular amino acid; and 'wobble' base-pairing, i.e. permitting non-standard base-pairing at the 3rd anti-codon position. The record is from Rfam. Lineage: Eukaryota; Endomyxa; Phytomyxea; Plasmodiophorida; Plasmodiophoridae.
UUCGGUAUCGCAUAGGUGGUCAGUGUACCCGGCUCUCACCCGGGAGACCUGGGUUCAAGUCCCAGUACCGAAG